UAUCUGAACCUUCGGGGAACGAUAACGGCGUCGAGCGGCGGACGGGUGAGUAAUGCCUAGGAAAUUGCCCUGAUGUGGGGGAUAACCAUUGGAAACGAUGGCUAAUACCGCAUGAUGCCUACGGGCCAAAGAGGGGGACCUUCGGGCCUCUCGCGUCAGGAUAUGCCUAGGUGGGAUUAGCUAGUUGGUGAGGUAAGGGCUCACCAAGGCAACGAUCCCUAGCUGGUCUGAGAGGAUGAUCAGCCACACUGGAACUGAGACACGGUCCAGACUCCUACGGGAGGCAGCAGUGGGGAAUAUUGCACAAUGGGCGCAAGCCUGAUGCAGCCAUGCCGCGUGUAUGAAGAAGGCCUUCGGGUUGUAAAGUACUUUCAGUCGUGAGGAAGGCGGCGUCGUUAAUAGCGGCGUUGUUUGACGUUAGCGACAGAAGAAGCACCGGCUAACUCCGUGCCAGCAGCCGCGGUAAUACGGAGGGUGCGAGCGUUAAUCGGAAUUACUGGGCGUAAAGCGCAUGCAGGUGGUUUGUUAAGUCAGAUGUGAAAGCCCGGGGCUCAACCUCGGAAUAGCAUUUGAAACUGGCAGACUAGAGUACUGUAGAGGGGGGUAGAAUUUCAGGUGUAGCGGUGAAAUGCGUAGAGA
This 639-nucleotide ribosomal RNA is filed under the name Vibrio antiquarius. RNAcentral describes it as "bacterial SSU rRNA". It matches the Rfam family "Bacterial small subunit ribosomal RNA", at positions 64 to 696 of the family's 1533-position model. Lineage: Bacteria; Pseudomonadati; Pseudomonadota; Gammaproteobacteria; Vibrionales; Vibrionaceae. The record is from RNAcentral.